Long non-coding RNA from Cyprinus carpio (common carp), 301 nucleotides. The record is from Ensembl. NCBI's taxonomy places the organism in Eukaryota, Metazoa, Chordata, Actinopteri, Cypriniformes, Cyprinidae.
AUGAGCCACUGACAUGAAUACCCUGCCCUUGACUGAGCCGGGAUGCGAUCUCACGACUGCAUGUGAAAGCGCUCACUGGCACGGUGCCCGUCAGAUCGAGACGUCAGAGCCGCACACACUCACGCUGGCACGGGUCCCAUCGCUGCGUCCGCCCAUGCGAGGCCACCGGGCUGUGACGUUACAGAGGGAUAAUUUUGGGAUGACGCAUGCCGGUUCUCUGCGUGGAAUCAUUUUGGCUGCAUGGGUUUUUCUGGCUCAAUUAGCAGACUCUCUUUCUGCUGAAGGGGGAUUCAGCAUGUGA